UACGUAGGUGGCAAGCGUUGUCCGGAUUUACUGGGCGUAAAGGAUGCGUAGGCGGACAUUUAAGUCAGAUGUGAAAUACCCGAGCUCAACUUGGGUGCUGCAUUUGAAACUGGAUGUCUAGAGUGCAGGAGAGGUAAGUGGAAUUCCUAGUGUAGCGGUGAAAUGCGUAGAGAUUAGGAAGAACACCAGUGGCGAAGGCGACUUACUGGACUGUAACUGACGCUGAGGCAUGAAAGCGUGGGGAGCAAAC
RNAcentral lists this ribosomal RNA (250 nucleotides) under uncultured bacterium. RNAcentral describes it as "partial 16S ribosomal RNA". It matches the Rfam family "Bacterial small subunit ribosomal RNA", at positions 524 to 773 of the family's 1533-position model. The record is from RNAcentral.